RNAcentral lists this ribosomal RNA (884 nucleotides) under uncultured bacterium. RNAcentral describes it as "bacterial SSU rRNA". It matches the Rfam family "Bacterial small subunit ribosomal RNA", at positions 54 to 898 of the family's 1533-position model. The record is from RNAcentral.
CAUGCAAGUCGAACGGUCCUCCUUCGGGAGGAUAGUGGCGGACGGGUGAGUAACACGUAGUUGACCUGCCCAAUAGUGGGGAAUAACUGCCCGAAAGGGUAGCUAAUACCGCAUAAGCUCAUCGGGGUUGCUCGAUGAGGAAACCUUGGUCUUCGGGCCUGGGGCUGUUGGAGGGGACUGCGGCGGAUUAGCUAGAUGGUGGGGUAACGGCCUACCAUGGCGACGAUCCGUAGCUGGUCUGAGAGGACGACCAGCCACACUGGGACUGAGACACGGCCCAGACUCCUACGGGAGGCAGCAGUGAGGAAUAUUCCACAAUGGGCGAAAGCCUGAUGGAGCGACGCCGCGUGAGGGAUGAAGCCUUUUGGGGUGUAAACCUCUUUUUUGGGGGAUGAAACGUGUGGGAGAGAUACCCACACUAAGACAGUACCCCAAGAAUAAGCAUCGGCUAACUACGUGCCAGCAGCCGCGGUAAUACGUAGGAUGCAAGCGUUGUCCGGAUUUACUGGGCGUAAAGCGCGCGCAGGCGGCACUCUAAGUACGUCGUGAAAUAUCCCGGCUCAACCGGGAGGGUGCGAUGUAGACUAGGGAGCUAGAGGUCGGUAGAGGGGGGUGGAAUUGCUGGUGUAGCGGUGAAAUGCGUAGAGAUCAGCAGGAACACCCGUGGCGAAGGCGGCCCCCUGGGCCGAUAAAAACUCCUGUCAAGGGAAACCUUGACGGGUACCUGACGCUGAGGCGCGAAGGCUAGGGGAGCGAACGGGAUUAGAUACCCCGGUAGUCCUAGCAGUAAACGAUGGCCACUAGGUGUGGGGGGUGUUGACCCCUUCCGUGCCGAAGCUAACGCAUUAAGUGGCCCGCCUGGGGAGUACGGUCGCAAGACUAAA